Molecule: long non-coding RNA, 519 nt
Filed under: Elaeis guineensis (African oil palm)
Lineage: Eukaryota; Viridiplantae; Streptophyta; Magnoliopsida; Arecales; Arecaceae
Description: long non-coding RNA (EGUI_LNC027613)
Source: RNAcentral
UCAGAAAAAAAGGAGAGGAAAAACAAGGAGGAACUCUCAUGUUUAGUUGGCAUUCCAUCAUAUUCUAGUUAGAAACAAGUCAAGGAGUUCAGAAUGUUGAAUAAGAAUAAAAGAGUAAAAGAUAAAUAAUGAUGGAACAGGGUGGAACAGAAAAUUUUAAGUUAUUAUGGAAAUUGCACCUAAGUAUUUGAAAAUUGAAGUCCAAUCCAUGAGUGGAAAAAUGUAAGCAAGCUCAUGGAGAAUUUUGCAUCUGUACUGAGAAAGGGUUAUGGAAGUGACAGCUCAUCAGAACUCAGGUCAUACUUUAUCUAGCGAAUCACAUCUACUGUGCAGCUUUAUUUCCCACUUAUUUGAUCUUGUUGGAUAUUGUUUAGGAAUUUGGUCUUUCUUUUUGGGCAUUGCCAUUUUUUAAUUACUUCUUAGAUAUUCAUAUUAAUCAGUUGUUAAUGGUAAGUAUUUCAUGAUCCACUUUUUCUAAGCCCAAUUCAGGGUAUCGUUUGGUUUGAACUAGCAAGGGGC